UAGUACCGAAGUUCCUGAUGUCACACUGCCGAGAAAAGCUUCUAGUGAGAAAACAGCGGCCCGUACCGCAAACCGACACAGGUAGUCGAGGAGAGAAUCCUAAGGUGAGCGAGAGAACUCUCGUUAAGGAACUCGGCAAAAUGACCCCGUAACUUCGGGAGAAGGGGUGCUGAUCAUACGAUCAGCCGCAGUGAAUAGGCCCAAGCGACUGUUUAUCAAAAACACAGGUCUCUGCAAAAUCGUAAGAUGAAGUAUAGGGGCUGACGCCUGCCCGGUGCUGGAAGGUUAAGAGGAGUGCUUAGCGCAAGCGAAGGUACGAAUUGAAGCCCCAGUAAACGGCGGCCGUAACUAUAACGGUCCUAAGGUAGCGAAAUUCCUUGUCGGGUAAGUUCCGACCCGCACGAAAGGCGUAACGAUUUGGGCACUGUCUCAACGAGAGACUCGGUGAAAUUUUAGUACCUGUGAAGAUGCAGGUUACCCGCGACAGGACGGAAAGACCCCAUGGAGCUUUACUGUAGUUUGAUAUUGAGUGUCUGUACCGCAUGUACAGG
Molecule: ribosomal RNA, 551 nt
Filed under: Enterococcus faecium
Lineage: Bacteria; Bacillati; Bacillota; Bacilli; Lactobacillales; Enterococcaceae
Description: partial 23S ribosomal RNA
Rfam family: Bacterial large subunit ribosomal RNA
Source: RNAcentral